Camelina sativa (false flax) is the source of this 1786-nucleotide non-coding RNA. Lineage: Eukaryota; Viridiplantae; Streptophyta; Magnoliopsida; Brassicales; Brassicaceae. The record is from RefSeq and is a predicted model, not a curated record.
UUUCAAAUAUAAUUCAGGCCCAGUUGUUUUUCUAUGUUAUCGAUUAAACCUAUGAAUGUCUCUCCUCCGCGCUGUCACGACGCUCCAUCUCCACCGGUUGCUCUUCUCCUUAACUCUUGAUCCAUGCCGUUUCACCAUCUGAUGCCAAUUGAAGUCUUCCAGUCUUCUGGCAAGAACAUCCGCCGUGCGCUUAAGGAUCUCGUCGGAUCUGCUGAUUCUGGCGACGUUCUUGUCGUUCAUUACAGCAGACACGGGACGAGGUUGCCCGCUGAGACUGGUGAAGACAAUGAUACUGGCUACGACGAGUGUAUUGUUCCUUGCACGUGAAUUUAGAGGAGAAUCGAGAAGCAACCCAACACUAAUCGAUGGUCAAUGAUUCAAUCUCUCUUUCGAUGCUCCAAUCUCUUUCUAUUGAUGGUCUCCGACAAUAAAUCCCCAGAAAAAUUCUUAUUUAGAUGAUUUUGUACUAGUGGACAAAAUUUGCCUCAAGGAUUACAAGUUUGUGCGUGGUGAUGUUGUAGUGUUCAGGUAUGUUCCUUAUGCCAAACCACGUUUGACUCAUCCUUUGACAAGAACUAUAUAAUGAGUUUUAGUUGAUUACAUAUGAUGGAUAUGAUGAUGUGGUCUGGCCUCACAAAGAGUUAGCAAGACUGGUCGAUAAAGCUAAUUUAGAAGAAGAAGGAGAAUGACAUGGUGUGGCAAACGGCUUCUCUUUACCAUUUGGUUCACACUGCAGCUCUCCACCGGUUGCUCUCUCCACCAGUUGCUCUUCUCCUUAACUCACAAUCCAUGCCGUUUUACUAUUUGAUGUGAAUUCAAGUCUUCCAGCCCUCUACACUUUCAAUUGGCGUAAGUUUAAGUCCUAUAUAAUGUCAUCUCCUCCAAUUUCAUGCUUCUUAUAAUUUUCUCACGAUUUUAUGCUUCCAGUCCUUUACAUGUCUGUCUUUUUUGUAUUGCAUGCUUUUAAUAUGAUAAUUUGUAUUGAGCAAAACUUUGCAGAGGGCUCACUUGUGAAUUUUGGGAAAAAUGAGUUUUGUUUUCCGGGGAAGUAGAGGUGAUUUAGAAAGCGGAUUCUCUGGUUUUAUACCCGAGAGACGAGCUAUGCGUGUUCAUGGAGCUCGACCAGCUCAUUCUAAUUCCCUCGCUUUUCUGGUUACAGUUCUUUUGCUUGCUGUUUAUGAUUCUCAGUUCACAUCAGAUGCCUCCUAAUUUCCUGCUCUGGCUUGUGCUUGAGGUGUUUUUGAUGGCAACGACCCUUAGGAUGUAUGCCACUUGCCAACAACUUCAAGCUCAGGCUCAAGCUCAUGCUGCUGUAGCAAGUGGUCUCUUUAGUCACACUGAGCUGAGGUUGCAUGUGCCUCCCUCCAUUGCUGUUGCUACAAGAGGACGUCUUCAAGGACUUAGGCUCCAGCUGGCUCUUCUUGAUCGGGAGUUUGAUGACUUAGCAGAUGCAGCAACUGUUGGUUUAACCGUUACUUCAUUGCCAGGAGAGGUCUUCCAUCACUGAAUGAUGUUGGCUUGACAUCCUUCCGCGACCUGGUUUAUCAAGAGGUGCAGUCCAUUGUUAAAGACGCUGUACUUGCACUGAUUCAUAAAAAACGUGAGGGCAACAGAUUGAUAGAGCACUGCUGAAAAACGUAAUAGAUGUCUAUGUUGGGAAUGGAAUGGGAGAGAUGAAUAAAUACGAAGACGACUUUGAAAGUUUCAUUCUUCAAGAUACCGCAUCUUACUAUUCUUGCAAGGCCUCAAGCUGGAUCGAGGAGGAUUCUUGUCAUGAUUACAUGAU